RNAcentral lists this ribosomal RNA (939 nucleotides) under Nagrajchalara aspera. Its description in RNAcentral is "partial large subunit ribosomal RNA". It matches the Rfam family "Eukaryotic large subunit ribosomal RNA", at positions 24 to 980 of the family's 3401-position model. The record is from RNAcentral. Lineage: Eukaryota; Fungi; Ascomycota; Leotiomycetes; Helotiales.
UUACCCCGGCUGGAACUUAAGCAUAUCAAUAAGCGGAGGAAAAGAAACCAACAGGGAUUACCUCAGUAACGGCGAGUGAAGCGGUAACAGCUCAAAUUUGAAAUCUGGCCUCUGGUCCGAGUUGUAAUUUGUAGAAGAUGCUUCGGGUGUGGCUCCGGUCUAAGUUCCUUGGAACAGGACGUCAUAGAGGGUGAGAAUCCCGUAUGUGACUGGCUGCCUCCCCUAUGUGAAGCUCUUUCGACGAGUCGAGUUGUUUGGGAAUGCAGCUCAAAAUGGGUGGUAUAUUUCAUCUAAAGCUAAAUAUUGGCCAGAGACCGAUAGCGCACAAGUAGAGUGAUCGAAAGAUGAAAAGCACUUUGGAAAGAGAGUUAAACAGUACGUGAAAUUGUUGAAAGGGAAGCGCUUGCAAUCAGACUUGCACGUUACCGAUCAUCUGGUGUUCUCACCAGUGCACUCGGUUUCGUUCAGGCCAGCAUCGGUUUGGGUGGUUGGAUAAAGGCCUUGGGAAUGUGGCUCCUCGGAGUGUUAUAGCCCAAGGUGCAAUGCAGCCUACCCGGACCGAGGACCGCGCUUCGGCUAGGAUGCUGGCGUAAUGAUUGUAAGCGGCCCGUCUUGAAACACGGACCAAGGAGUCUAACAUCUAUGCGAGUAUUUGGGUGUUAAACCCAUAUGCGAAAUUAACGUGAACGGAGGUAAGAGCCCUUAAGGGUGCAUUAUCGACCGGUCCUGAUGUUUACGGAUGGAUCUGAGUAAGAGCAUAGCUGUUGGGACCCGAAAGAUGGUGAACUAUGCCUGAAUAGGGUGAAGCCAGAGGAAACUCUGGUGGAGGCUCGCAGCGGUUCUGACGUGCAAAUCGAUCGUCAAAUUUGGGUAUAGGGGCGAAAGACUAAUCGAACCAUCUAGUAGCCUGGUUUCCUGCCGAAGUUUCCCCUCAGGAUA